Molecule: long non-coding RNA, 3174 nt
Organism: Amblyraja radiata (thorny skate)
Lineage: Eukaryota; Metazoa; Chordata; Chondrichthyes; Rajiformes; Rajidae
Exons: 3
Source: RefSeq, a predicted model, not a curated record
UUCUGCUGGAAAACCUGAAAUGAACAUUUGUUCCACCUGCUGUACUAUUUUUACAUUUUAAUAGACAGAACAAAAAUCUUAUUGAAGCACAACUUAAACCUGCAGUGACUAUUUUAGCACAAUUUUUCAGAGUAAUUAUGUAUAAAUGAACAUGGGAACUGGUGUAAAGUAUCUCAUAUUCCUUGACUCCCUUAUCUUGUCAUAGAUGUCUGUUUCUAAUCUUGAAAGUGGUGGAGAUUCCAUAUUUGGUUUACACUGUAUAUGAAGAAAUACUUGUUUUCUGACCUAAAUGGUUUGGCUAAAUUUUGAGCAUCACGAUCCCUUCUUUAUUUCCUUCUCGAGAAAACAUCUUUCCAUGCAACCACCCUCAUGGAGUUUUAAAUCAUUCUAAACUCUUUCAUUAUCUAAAGAGUCUAAGCCGAAAAGCCUCAUGGCAGUCUGGUAACUUAGCAUAUUUGUAAGCACAAUCAUACAGUGGUUGUUUUAUUUUGCAAUUGGCCUGCAAACAAAUUGCAUCCUCCAGUGAAACUAAUGCAUCUUUAAGGGAUCUAUAAUUAAUUGGUGCAAAUAAGCCGAAAAUACAAUUUGUACUUCUCAGUCACUUAGUCAAGUGAGAAUUAAGCCUCCCAAUAAAGAGGUAUAUUCCGAAGCUAAAUUUACUCCAUAUAUUUGCAAUAUUUCAGUAUCUUAUGUUUACAUAUCGAGGCAGUUGAGACAAUUAUUUGUACAAGUUUACCAUGAAAUUGCAUCCCCUGUUUUCUACCCAUUCUCAUGUAUCCUAGUUGUCAAAUUGUUCCACUUUAUUUUUAAAACUGAUCUUCUGCCACAUAGCAUCUCAUACUCUAUGUAUACCAUCAUUAACUUAAACCAACCCAGUUAGCGCAUGAAAACAUUUGAGCAGUUUUAAGAUCAAUCAGCAAAUGUUGUAGGAGGCAAAAUAGUGAUAUGAUAACAUUUUAUGUGGUAUACUACAGACUAAUGGUGCUGAACUUAAAUCUUAUGGAAACUAUUUUGCCUCGAAGAUUUACGUACUGUGAUGUGAUCCCUUUCCCUCACACCACCCCCCCCUUCAAAAAAAGUGUAGUUAAUGUUUACCUAGGCAAAGAAAACUAGUGCUUAUCUAGCAUAUUUCUGUCACGUUUUUAAAAGAGGGGAUAUCGACGUCAUCAAUUUAAAAAAAAAUAGGGAAGUGGUACACAAUAUUUUGGAAGAUCAUGGCUUAUCUUUAACCUUAGCUUGAUAACUAUAUACUUUCAUUGUCCAAAAACCUCUAGACCGCUACACUGACUCUACUCAGUGACUGAGCCUCCACAGCCCCUUUAUAAUUCUGAAUUUCUUCUCAUGAUAGUCCUGAAUGGUUAACCACUUAUUUUGAUCCUGUGACCACUUGUUCUCGUUGCACGACCCAGGGAAACCACUAUCCCUACAUCUACCCUGUUAAGCCCCAUAAGAAUGUAAUAUUUUAACGAUAUUCCCUUUCACCUUUCUAAACUAAAGGGCAUGGAUCCAGUCACCUUGUCUUUGCUCAAAGUUCCCGUGAAUCAGCCAGGUGGAUCUUUAUUACACUCCCUCUCUAUUCGUCUGUAGGGAGAUCAGAACUGUACAGAUUUGUUCCAGGUGCAAAAAAACGUUCCUGGCAAAUCACAGCACAAUAAAAUUGCCAAUUUUGGAACAGAGCUUCAAAGAUUGUUCUGUGAAGGUUGGGCAUAACACAAACUCGUGUGAUUUAAUGCCGUUCUGGAAGCUCUUUUGUUCAAAUGUGAAUGAGUAUUUUCCAAGGGUUUUUUUGUUUUAAUCCUUGGGCUUUUUUCUGAAUGUGGCUUGAUUGGAAAUCCACAACAACAACUACUGCAGGAAACCCAGAUGCCCAUUGCACCAUGACUGAAUUUACUCUUCCUGAUCUAGUUAAUUGAAGGUGCUUGUAAACUAUCUAUAAAGUAGCCAGCCAAUGCAGCAUUAAAUUUAAAGCUAACUUUUUCAAGAUUAUGCAGUUUUUUUGUUAGCAUUUGCCAGGAAUGGUUAAGGUAAGACCCCUGAGGAGCAAUUCAGAAGUCCCAAGAAACAAUCGAACAGAAAUUAUACUGCUGCAAAGCUUUCACCAUCUCAUUGGUUUGGUACUGUGCAAAAUAGUUGGCUUUUUAUUUUGACAGUAUGAUUUAAAAAAAAAAAAAUUAUUUCAUCUAUUCAGAUACAUGUGGUACAUCUCUACUUUUCCACUUCCUUCCCAUCACUGGAAGCACUUCACCUAGGUUGCCAGAGAUGAUAGCUGGCCAGCCUUGGAUGAAUUUAAUAUUUGCGAGUCUGAACAUUUUCGCUAGCACAUGUGAAAGAGAAAAUUGAAACUAGUUCCAGCAAUGUAGAUUAAUUUUGGUUAAUUUUGAGAGUGUAAGAGUUAAUUCUCGGGCGAGGGGGGAGGAGGGGUGGGGCGAAAAAUUGAAUUAAGCAAUAUUCUAUGGAAAUCAACUCAACAUGCACAAUAUUCCAAUAAUCCUCUUACCUCAGUCCCCAGAGAUGGUAUUUGCAUUCUUCAUCUUAUACCAGAACCAUCCAGACUUGUAUUUCACCUUGGGGCACACUCUAUUCAAUGCCUGUUCAGUUCCCUACAUGAGAACAUUGCAAUUCCUCAGCCACGAGAAUCAUGGGUCAUAAGAAAUGUCAACAGAACAAGAUCGUUACCCAACUUUGAACAGGAAUCAUCAACCACGCCCCACUGAGAAGAUAGACACAAAAAGCUGGAGUAACGAACCAGCAGUUUGGUCUGAUCCACAGCUCUACAAAUGGAACUGAGUCUAUUUUGAAACCAUUUAGCAAUGUGAAAUUGGAGGUAUUUUGUUUUAAAUGUGAUCAAAUCCCAAUGCAAAGAAGUAAAGGAAUAUUACGAUCCCAGGUGAAGUGUAUUAUGCACACUCUGUUCUUGGAUAAAUUUAGGUGAAGUUGCAAUUAAUGCUCAAAAAAGUGUCUGAAAUAUGGCUCCUGCUCCUGGUAAAAUAACAAAAACUGAUGCUGAUACGUUCUGAUAAAACAUUCCAAAGGAAAUAUAGGUUUGUUUCACAAUUAAUGCUGCAAUUCAGUACAACACUUAAAAUGACUUGUAAAAUACUUAAAUACUGUUACACAAUGUAUGUAUUGGCAAUCACAAAAUAAAACUCUUCUACAGAGAUGUUUGGAAAAGCA